Theobroma cacao (cacao) is the source of this 471-nucleotide non-coding RNA. The record is from RefSeq and is a predicted model, not a curated record. Lineage: Eukaryota; Viridiplantae; Streptophyta; Magnoliopsida; Malvales; Malvaceae.
UGAACAGAAGCUAUAAACUAUGAUUUACAUAGACAGAUAAAGCUGGGUAUUUGAAAGUUUGAAUGGAAGGAACGGUCGGCAAAAGCCUUGCAUCGGAUAUCUAUGAAGGCAACCUGAUGUAUAGUAUGAUCAUGAGUUUGAUGCACGCAGGGCAACGAGGAAUACAGAGUAUCCGGCAUGAAGAAUUUAGAGAUCUCAGACAAGUUUUUUCUUUCGUUUAUCCUAUAGCUAAGCCAAGAAGGAUCCGUGUAGAGAAUCACCAUUCCAUUCCACCCUUUGAAAGUCAGAAUUUUUCAAAGCUUUUCUGCUUUCAACAUACACACCAGGUGGCAGUCAUCAACGACUUACCAGAUUACUUGCUUGACUUUCUGGAUUCUCAGUUCCAACGGAUUUGGAGAUGCAAAAUUAUAUUCCUUCAGCAACUAUAUAUUUUGAGUACUUAGGUGGCAUUUCUUUCUGGGAUUUUCAUCA